AUGUCUGUCACCGGCAUCAUUGACGUAAGGAAAAAAAUAAUCAACGACACCGCUAAUUGGCACAUUUGACACAUUAUUAAUUAGCAUAAUAGCACAGCCUGGAAAAAUCAUGGGUUGAAUUAUACUUCAAGCCAAUCGUAAGC
Molecule: long non-coding RNA, 143 nt
Organism: Octopus sinensis (East Asian common octopus)
Lineage: Eukaryota; Metazoa; Mollusca; Cephalopoda; Octopoda; Octopodidae
Exons: 4
Source: RefSeq, a predicted model, not a curated record